Molecule: ribosomal RNA, 512 nt
Filed under: uncultured bacterium
Lineage: Bacteria
Description: partial 16S ribosomal RNA
Rfam family: Bacterial small subunit ribosomal RNA
Source: RNAcentral
GAUGAACGCAGGCGGCGUGCCUAAUACAUGCAAGUCGAACGAAACUUCUUUAUCACCGAGUGCUUGCACUCACCGAUAAAGAGUUGAGUGGCGAACGGGUGAGUAACACGUGGGCAACCUGCCCAAAAGAGGGGGAUAACACUUGGAAACAGGUGCUAAUACCGCAUAACCAUAGUUACCGCAUGGUAACUAUGUAAAAGGUGGCUAUACUACCGCUUUUGGAUGGGCCCGCGGCGCAUUAGCUAGUUGGUAGGGUAAAGGCUUACCAAGGCAAUGAUGCGUAGCCGAAUUGAGAGGUUGAUCGGCCACAUUGGGACUGAGACACGGCCCAAACUCCUACGGGAGGCAGCAGUAGGGAAUCUUCCACAAUGGGCGAAAGCCUGAUGGAGCAACGCCGCGUGGGUGAAGAAGGUCUUCGGAUCGUAAAACCCUGUUGUUAGAGAAGAAAGUGCGUGAGAGUAACUGUUCACGUUUCGACGGUAUCUAACCAGAAAGCCACGGCUAACUACGUG